Molecule: ribosomal RNA, 424 nt
Filed under: Bifidobacterium longum subsp. longum
Lineage: Bacteria; Bacillati; Actinomycetota; Actinomycetes; Bifidobacteriales; Bifidobacteriaceae
Description: bacterial SSU rRNA
Rfam family: Bacterial small subunit ribosomal RNA
Source: RNAcentral
CGCUGGCGGCGUGCUUAACACAUGCAAUUCGAACGGGAUCCAUCAAGCUUGCUUGGUGGUGAGAGUGGCGAACGGGUGAGUAAUGCGUGACCGACCUGCCCCAUACACCGGAAUAGCUCCUGGAAACGGGUGGUAAUGCCGGAUGCUCCAGUUGAUCGCAUGGUCUUCUGGGAAAGCUUUCGCGGUAUGGGAUGGGGUCGCGUCCUAUCAGCUUGACGGCGGGGUAACGGCCCACCGUGGCUUCGACGGGUAGCCGGCCUGAGAGGGCGACCGGCCACAUUGGGACUGAGAUACGGCCCAGACUCCUACGGGAGGCAGCAGUGGGGAAUAUUGCACAAUGGGCGCAAGCCUGAUGCAGCGACGCCGCGUGAGGGAUGGAGGCCUUCGGGUNGUAAACCUCUUUAUCGGGGAGCAAGCGAGAGGA